UACGGAGGGGGCUAGCGUUGUACGGAAUUACUGGGCGUAAAGCGCAUGUAGGCGGUUUGGUUAGUCAGGGGUGAAAUCCCGGGGCUCAACCUCGGAAUUGCCUUCGAUACUGCCGAGCUCGAGUCCCGGAGAGGUGGGCGGAAUUCCCGGUGUAGAGGUGAAAUUCGUAGAUAUCGGGAGGAACACCAGUGGCGAAGGCGGCCUACUGGACGGUUACUGACGCUGAGACGCGAAAGCGUGGGGAGCAAACAGG
Molecule: ribosomal RNA, 253 nt
Filed under: uncultured bacterium
Lineage: Bacteria
Description: partial 16S ribosomal RNA
Rfam family: Bacterial small subunit ribosomal RNA
Source: RNAcentral